RNAcentral lists this transfer RNA (75 nucleotides) under Bacillus subtilis subsp. subtilis str. BSP1. RNAcentral's name for it is "tRNA-Glu". Lineage: Bacteria; Bacillati; Bacillota; Bacilli; Caryophanales; Bacillaceae. The record is from RNAcentral.
UGGGAAACAGUUAUAUUUAUGUGAAUCAAUUUGAAGAACAGCUUCCAGAAGAAAAACUGUCAGAGAUUGCAAUUC